GAUGAACGCUAGCUACAGGCUUAACACAUGCAAGUCGAGGGGCAGCAUGAACUUAGCUUGUUAAGUUUGAUGGCGACCGGCGCACGGGUGAGUAACACGUAUCCAACCUGCCGAUGACUCGGGGAUAGCCUUUCGAAAGAAAGAUUAAUACCCGAUGGCAUAGUUCUUCCGCAUGGUAGAACUAUUAAAGAAUUUCGGUCAUCGAUGGGGAUGCGUUCCAUUAGGUUGUUGGCGGGGUAACGGCUCACCAAGCCUUCGAUGGAUAGGGGUUCUGAGAGGAAGGUCCCCCCACAUUGGAACUGAGACACGGUCCAAAACUCCUACGGGAGGCAGCAGUGAGGAAUAUUGGUCAAUGGACGAGAGUCUGAACCAGCCAAGUAGCGUGAAGGAUGACUGCCCUAUGGGUUGUAAACUUCUUUUAUACGGGAAUAAAGUGAGGCACGUGUGCCUUUUGUAUGUACCGUAUGAAUAAGGAUCGGCUAACUCCGUG
RNAcentral lists this ribosomal RNA (490 nucleotides) under uncultured bacterium. RNAcentral describes it as "bacterial SSU rRNA". It matches the Rfam family "Bacterial small subunit ribosomal RNA", at positions 28 to 507 of the family's 1533-position model. The record is from RNAcentral.